UAGGAUCAUUACUGAGUGCGGACCCCUCGCGGGUCCAACCUCCCACCCGUGUCUCUUGAAUACCCUGUAGCUUUGGCGGGCCCACCGGGUCGCCCCGGUCGCCGGGGGGCACUGCGCCCCCGGGCCUGCGCCCGACAGAGCGCUCUGUGAACCCUAAUGAAGAUGGGCUGUCUGAGUGUGAUUUUGAAUUAUCAAAACUUUCCACAAUGGAUCUCUUGGUUCCGGCAUCGAUGAAGAACGCAGCGAAAUGCGAUAAGUAAUGUGAAUUGCAGAAUUCCGUGAAUCAUCGAAUCUUUGAACGCACAUUGCGCCCCCUGGCAUUCCGGGGGGCAUGCCGGUCCGAGCGUCAUUUCUGCCCUCAAGCGCGGCUUGUGUGUUGGGUGUGGUCCCCCCGGUGUUGGGGUGACCUGCCCGAAAGGCAGCGGCGACGUCCCGUCUAGGUCCUCGAGCGUAUGGGGCUUUGUCACCCGCUCGGGAGGGGCCUGCGGGCGUUGGUCACCCACGAUAUUUUUUUUUACCGUUGACCUCGGAUCAGGUAGGAGUUACCCGCUGAACUUAAGCAUAUCAAUAA
Molecule: unclassified non-coding RNA, 571 nt
Filed under: Talaromyces purpureogenus
Lineage: Eukaryota; Fungi; Ascomycota; Eurotiomycetes; Eurotiales; Trichocomaceae
Description: sequence contains 18S rRNA gene, ITS1, 5.8S rRNA gene, ITS2 and 28S rRNA gene
Rfam family: 5.8S ribosomal RNA (bases 196-349)
Source: RNAcentral